RNAcentral lists this ribosomal RNA (487 nucleotides) under uncultured bacterium. RNAcentral describes it as "bacterial SSU rRNA". It matches the Rfam family "Bacterial small subunit ribosomal RNA", at positions 30 to 514 of the family's 1533-position model. The record is from RNAcentral.
AUUGAACGCUGGCGGCAUGCCUUACACAUGCAAGUCGAACGGCAGCGGACCUUCGGGUGCCGGCGAGUGGCGAACGGGUGAGUAAUAUAUCGGAACGUACCUUUCAGUGGGGGAUAACGUAGCGAAAGUUACGCUAAUACCGCAUAUUCUGUGAGCAGGAAAGCAGGGGAUCGCAAGACCUUGCGCUGAUUGAGCGGCCGAUAUCAGAUUAGCUAGUUGGUGAGGUAAAGGCUCACCAAGGCGACGAUCUGUAGCGGGUCUGAGAGGAUGAUCCGCCACACUGGAACUGAGGCACGGUCCAGACUCCUACGGGAGGCAGCAGUGGGGAAUUUUGGACAAUGGGCGCAGGCCUGAUCCAGCCAUGCCGCGUGAGUGAAGAAGGCCUGGUUGUAAAGCUCUUUCGGCCGGGAAGGAAAUCGCACAGGUUAAUACCCUGUGUGGAUGACGGUACCGGAAUAAGAAGCACCGGCUAACUACGUGCCAGCAG